UACGUAGGGCGCAAGCGUUAUCCGGAAUUAUUGGGCGUAAAGAGCUCGUAGGCGGUUUGUCGCGUCUGCCGUGAAAGUCCGGGGCUCAACCCCGGAUCUGCGGUGGGUACGGGCAGACUAGAGUGAUGUAGGGGAGACUGGAAUUCCUGGUGUAGCGGCGAAAUGCGCAGAUAUCAGGAGGAACACCGAUGGCGAAGGCAGGUCUCUGGGCAUUAACUGACGCUGAGGAGCGAAAGCAUGGGGAGCGAACAGG
RNAcentral lists this ribosomal RNA (253 nucleotides) under uncultured bacterium. RNAcentral's name for it is "partial 16S ribosomal RNA". It matches the Rfam family "Bacterial small subunit ribosomal RNA", at positions 524 to 776 of the family's 1533-position model. The record is from RNAcentral.